CGAGCUGUAGCUCAGCUGGAAGAGCGCCGGUCUACGAAGCCGGGAGUCGCAGGUUCGAACCCUGCCAGCUCGA
This 73-nucleotide transfer RNA is filed under the name Myxococcales bacterium. Its description in RNAcentral is "tRNA-Arg". It matches the Rfam family "tRNA". Rfam says of the family: Transfer RNA (tRNA) molecules are approximately 80 nucleotides in length. Their secondary structure includes four short double-helical elements and three loops (D, anti-codon, and T loops). Further hydrogen bonds mediate the characteristic L-shaped molecular structure. tRNAs have two regions of fundamental functional importance: the anti-codon, which is responsible for specific mRNA codon recognition, and the 3' end, to which the tRNAs corresponding amino acid is attached (by aminoacyl-tRNA synthetases). tRNAs cope with the degeneracy of the genetic code in two manners: having more than one tRNA (with a specific anti-codon) for a particular amino acid; and 'wobble' base-pairing, i.e. permitting non-standard base-pairing at the 3rd anti-codon position. The record is from RNAcentral. Lineage: Bacteria; Pseudomonadati; Myxococcota; Myxococcia; Myxococcales.